GAAAGGAAAGGGGUCAUAGAAAUUAGUCUUGGCAGAUGGAGGGGAACGUCUCAAUGACCGAGGCACAUUUUUUCUUGUUAGUUAGCUCAUGGAUUUUUAUGGUCCAGGAGGAGUUGCUGCUAUAUGAAUAUGACAACACCCAUUAAUCAACAUAACUAUAUGAAUACAAUCUGAAAGGAAGGUCGGUUUGGUCAGAAACUCAUAGAGGUACUGAUGGAGGCUAUGAAACAGAUAAGGUAUACUUCACUAAAUUAUUCCUGAAACAUUUGUAUUUUUUAAAAUAACAUGUAAUCUUGUUGAUCUGGUUUACUCAAGCUGCAUCGAGUUUGUACUCGACAAACCUAAUUGGAUCUCUAUUCUAAUCCAGACAUUGCUUGUGUGUUGAUGAAGAAGUUCAGGAUUCCAAACCAGUUUUCAUGUCUGUUUGAUAAAGUUGUUCAUGCUUUGUGCAAUCUGCAGGUGAAGCUAGAUUUUCUAGAUGAAGUCCUUGUGUCUGUAAGUGGACACUAUGGAUAUGCUGCUAUAUUUAGAUAAGAAAAUGUGUUCCAGUUGACAACUUAUGAAUGCAUUAAAUAUAUACGUGUGUAUUUAGUCUUUGUACGAUGGCAUAUCCUGAUUUGCAUUGCUACUUAGAUGUGUGAACUGUUGGAGUUGGCAGAGCUGACCAUAUUUAGUUGUCAUGCUGUGCUAGGCCUAAAUUGUCUGAUGAUGUAAUUGUUGUCUGUUGGCUAUUGAGUCUGCUUGACAAACCUACCAAUUCAAAUUUAGUUAUGCUAUAUGUUCUUUUUGUGAAAUUACAAAUCCGCAUUGUUACAACAUCUGAAAUCCUGAUAUUUAUUAGGUCUCUUCGUUCCCUUUUCAGAUUUAAUUAACCUCUGAUUGGAUUCAGAGCUAUAUACUGACAGCCGUAUUGGUUUGAUUACUCGGUACACAGGGGAACUACAACAUUUGGUGUGAGUCGUACUACUUCGGGUUUUGGAUCUUCAAGCUCACCUUCAUUUGGCACAU
This 1008-nucleotide long non-coding RNA is filed under the name Zea mays. RNAcentral describes it as "long non-coding RNA (ZMAY_LNC004385)". Lineage: Eukaryota; Viridiplantae; Streptophyta; Magnoliopsida; Poales; Poaceae. The record is from RNAcentral.